Ascochyta clinopodiicola is the source of this 107-nucleotide non-coding RNA. The record is from the annotation of a GenBank genome assembly. Lineage: Eukaryota; Fungi; Ascomycota; Dothideomycetes; Pleosporales; Didymellaceae.
GCCCUCUUGGCUUAGUGGUAAAGCGUAUCACUAGUACUCAUUCAAUUCUUCCGAAUCGAUAUGGUUUGCAAAUGAUAAGAUCGCUCGUUCGAUUCGGGCAGAGGGCA